UAGCGGCAGGCUUGACNCAUGCAAGUCGAGGGGCAGCGCGAUGUAGCAAUACAUUGGCGGCGACCGGCGCACGGGUGCGUAACACGUAUGGAAUCUGCCCUGUACUGGAAGAUAACCCGGCGAAAGUCGGACUAAUAUCCCAUAAUAGCCGAGGUGGCAUCACCUUGGUUUGAAAGCUCCGGCGGUACAGGAUGACCAUGCGCACGAUUAGCUAGUUGGUGAGGUAACGGCUCACCAAGGCUACGAUCGUUAGGGGGGCUGAGAGGGUUAUCCCCCACACUGGUACUGAGACACGGACCAGACUCCUACGGGAGGNAGCAGUGAGGAAUAUUGCGCAAUGGAGGGAACUCUGACGCAGNCAUGCCGCGUGCAGGAAGAAGGCGCUACGCGUUGUAAACUGC
Molecule: ribosomal RNA, 401 nt
Filed under: uncultured bacterium
Lineage: Bacteria
Description: bacterial SSU rRNA
Rfam family: Bacterial small subunit ribosomal RNA
Source: RNAcentral